This 497-nucleotide ribosomal RNA is filed under the name uncultured bacterium. RNAcentral's name for it is "partial 16S ribosomal RNA". It matches the Rfam family "Bacterial small subunit ribosomal RNA", at positions 28 to 507 of the family's 1533-position model. The record is from RNAcentral.
GAUGAACGCUGGCGGCGUGCCUAAUACAUGCAAGUCGAGCGAACGGACGAGAAGCUUGCUUCUCUGAUGUUAGCGGCGGACGGGUGAGUAACACGUGGAUAACCUACCUAUAAGACUGGGAUAACUUCGGGAAACCGGAGCUAAUACCGGAUAAUAUUUUGAACCGCAUGGUUCAAAAGUGAAAGACGGUCUUGCUGUCACUUAUAGAUGGAUCCGGGCUGCAUUAGCUAGUUGGUAAGGUAACGGCUUAGCAAGGCAACGAUGCAUAGCCGACCUGAGAGGGUGAUCGGCCACACGGGAACGGAGACACGGACCAGAGGCCUAAGGGAGGCAGCAGUAGGGAAUCUGCCGCAGUGGGCGAAAGCCUGACGGAGCAACGCCGCGUGAGUGAUGAAGGUCCUCGGAUCGUAAAACUCUGUUAUUAGGGAAGAACAUAUGUGUAAGUAACUGUGCACAGCUUGACGGUACCUAAUCAGAAAGCCACGGCUAACUACGUG